GCUGGAAAACAGAAAAGAGGAUGAUCCCAGCUGAGACGCUCCAAGAAGAAAAUCUCAACAGCACCGAGAGACGAGGGAUUGCGCCAGCAUGAGAAUUCAAGGAGGCGAAUUUGUGCGAUGGUGUGGCUGAGGAAAGUCCAGAUUGAAAUGGCCACCGCAUUCUGUCUACACUGGAAAGUGCUCUCCAACAGAAAUAGUGAGUCAGAGCUGGUCCCAUGUUUGUCAACUUAGGGGCCGGCUCCGCUGUGUUUUGAACAACAUAUCAAUCCACUAGAUGUAGGCAGAAAGGAAGGCAUCUUCUGGUUGUCAGAGUAAAAAUCCUUUACUCUUCAGUCCAGCAACCCGAAGGAAAACAAGGGAAUGUGUGGCUUGGUUUCCUUGACAACCUUAUCUUCACUUCAGGCACCAUCCCUGUCUCUAAGCAACAGGGCACUCUUCGGAAUUACCAGGAGGUAAAAACCAGCGCUUGCCCCUGUCCACACUCCAGGACAAAGCAGAUUGGGGAAGAGUGACUGACCAGCCACCUCACAAGGCAGAGCCCAAGGCUGCUAGGAAAGGCUGGGAUCCCAGGCUGCAGGAAAAGGAGGAAGUGGAGAGAGAACUGAUACACAGUGUUCUCUGCUUCCUGGACACAGAUGCUAUGUGACCAUCUCAACUUCCUGCUGACAUCCACCAUGAUGGACUGCAUCUGCAAACUCCUUACCCAGGGAGGACCAUCAGCAGAGGAGCCCUGGGGAUGAAUCUGACAGAAAAGGACACCCCUGACACAGACUCCCCCACACCUUGGAGGCAGGCUUUUGCCUCGAUUCUGUUGACUUCCUAUGAUGAUCCAUCCUGUGCUGACUGGUUUUGUGUCAAUGAGACACAAGCUGAAGUUACCACAGAGAAAGGAGCCUCCCUGGAGGAAAGGCCUCCCUGAGACCCAGCUGUAAGGCAUUUUCUCAAUUAGUGACCAAGGGUGGGCGGGCCCAGCCCAUUGUGGGUGGUGCCGUCCCUGGGCUGGUGGUCCUGGGUUCUAUAAGAGAGCAAGCUGAGCAAGCCAGGGGAAGGAAGCCAGUAAGUAACAUCCCUCCAUGGCCUCUGCAUCAGCUCCUGCUUCCUGACCCGCGUGAGUUCCAGUCCUGACUUCCUUUAGUGAUGAACAGAAAUGUGGAAGUGUGAGCUGAAUAAACCCUUUCCUCCCCAACUUGCUUCUUGGUCAUGGCGUUUGUGCAGGAAUACAAACCCAGACAGAGACACAUCCACUCUGUACAAUGUUGAUUUAUUUCUUUUAAGACUGACUCUUUCAUUAUGUAGCUCUAGAUGUCCUGGAACCAGCUAUGUAGUCCGGACUGGCACUGAACUCCCAGAGAUCCACCUGCCUCUGCCUCCUGUGAGCUGGGAUUAAGGGCUUGUGCCACCGCUGCCAUUUUCUGCACAGCAUUGAAAUGAAUGUGUGAGUAAGCUUUGUCUCUUCUGAGAGACUGAAAGCUUGUUCGUUGCAAGAACAAACCCUAUUUCAUUCCCUUUAUCCUCUUUUAACCAGUGGGGACAGAGUCCUUCACCACGGCGGCUGCUAGCUACAGUUCCCUGUUGAGUAUUGGAGACGCUGAGAAAAUGGACCAUCUUAUUUAAGUUUAAUAAGGAUGUAAUGUAAAGGCUUAUGGUGUAGGGGUGUGUGUGUGUGAGAGAGAGACAGAGGUGUAUAUACCCCAGUGCAUGUGUGGAGGUCAGGGAACAACCUUCAGGUGUUGGUUUUCUCCUUCCAUUUUGUUUUAGGGAGGGUCACCAUGAUAAGUCAAGCUUCCCAGCCCACAAGCUGCCAGGCAGUUCCUUCUCUUGUCUCCGCCUCCUUUCUCUCGCUGCAGGACUGCUGGGAUUAUAGGUAUUUGUUAUAACAACAUUUGGGUUUUUACAUCGCUGUUAGGGAUCUGAACUCGUGUCUGUGUGGCAGCUGACUUUUACAUAGAGUUAUCUCCUGGACCCACAACCCUGUUUCAGGAUGACUAAAUUUCACUUUAACCACUAAAAUUCUGCAUCUAUGCUGAAAUGUGGCAUGGACAUAAAACAAAUACUUCAGAACUUAUAUGGUCUUCCAUGUUUUAAAAUAUGGAGUCCACGUCGAAAUGGUAAUAGUGUGGCCGCAUUAGAUGAAGUGUAUUUUGUAAAUUAAUUCUGUUUGCUUUCUGCUUCUUUCGUUUUUAAAAUUUAUACCCAGGGAAUAUUUCAUAAUAAAUGAUAUAUGUGCAUAUAUAUAACAUGCAUGUUCACAUCUUUCCUAUAUAUGGCUAUUAGAGAGCUUAACAAUUCACAUUGUUUCCUGUAUUUCUUUGUUUUAAAGAUUUAUUCACUUUAUUGCACUGCAUGAAUGCUUUGCUCAUAUAUGCAUAUGCAGCAUAUGCGUAUCGGGAACUCUUAGAGGUCUGAAGGGGUGUCAGGUCCCAUUGGGCUAGAGUUAUGAAUGGUUGUGAGCUGCUGUGUGUGUGCUAGGGCAGGGGCGGGGAAGAGGGGGUUGAACCCAGGUCCUCUGCAAGAACAAGUGCUCUUAGUCAUUGAGCCACCUCUCCAGCCUCCUGCGCUGUAUCCCUGAGAUACAGGCGUGUGCUGGCUUCACUGUGCAGGUCUUCAGAGAGCACUACAAAGAUCACUCCCUCCCUCUCCUCUAUUACCAGAAUGAGCUCCUUCAGGCCACGAAUCUGGAUUAGAAGUAUGAUCGGUGGUUAGGAAACUAAAUGGCAAUGUGGGAAUAAAAUUUUGGCAGCUAAUGAAAAAAAAAUCCUUUGAAACUGAUUUAAGUGUGAUGUGAUGAUUGCUUGCAAAAUGGGAGAUUAAUAAUUCAGAUCCUAAGAACAUAUGUCACUGUUAUCAAGGAAAUGUAGGCCUCAGCCUCCCUGGCAGCCAAUGACUAGAAGAUAUUCACAAGAAAUGAAUUGUUUUCACAGGAGAGGCAAAGCAUUUCCAGAAAAUAUACUGUCCAAUAAAUGUAGUAGCAGUGGGUGAUAAGCUGGGCGGUGUCCCUAGCAAGACCUGAGAGUAAAUGUCACAGUGUUUUCCAUCAGAGAGGAUCCCGUCCUCAAAAUCAGAGUUAAAGGGCUACUUUUUCAGAUGGGCAUAAGAUGGCAUGGUCCAUUAUGCUGUCUUGGCCAGGACAGUGGGCACAUGUCUAUUUGAAAGUAGGAGAGUUGCUGGGGAUUUAGCUCAGUGGUAGAGUGCUUACCUAGGAAGCGCAAGGUCCUGGGUUCGGUCCCCAGCUCCGGAAAAAAAAAAAAAAAAAAAAGAACAAGAAAGUAGGAGAGUUGCUGGAGAGAUGGCUCGGAGGUUAAGAUCACUGGCUGCUCUUCCAGAGGUUCUGAGUUCAAUUCCCAGCAACCACAUGGUGGCUCACAACCAUCUGUAAUGAGAUCUGAUGCCCUCUUCUGGUGUGUCUGAGGACAGCGACAGUGUAUUCAUAUAAAUAACAAAUAAAUGUUUGUUAUUUAUAGGGCCAAUAAAUAAAUCUUCAAGAAAAAAGAAAGUAGGAGAGGAAGAAGAUCAGGAGGAGAAGUAGGAAGAGGAAGAGGAAUGGCAGGAGAAGGAACAGGAAAAGCAGGAGAAGGAGGAGGAGGAGCAGCAGCAGGAGGAGGAGGAGGAGCAGGGAAAGCAGGAGAAGCAGGGGGAGGAAGAAGAGAGGGAGGGGCAGAAGACAGCAGAAAGAGGAGGAGCAGGGAGAAGAGGCUUGGGAGGAAGAGCAGGAGGAGCAGCAGGAGGACGACCAGGAGGAGAAGCAGAGGAGGACCAGGAAGAAAAGCAUGAGUUUUCCCAGUCUUGGAGCUGCCUUAGCCCAGCACUGGACAUAAUGAUUCAGCAUGUACAAAUUUUCUUGGACAAGCCAUCUGAACCCGUGUCUGUCCUCCAUUCAAGAAUGGAAAACAGAAUUGGGGGUUCAGCACAACUGGUAGAGUGCUUGCCAUACCAGCAGAAGACCCCAGGACCGAUCUCCAGCAUCACACUAAGUGUGGUGGCACACACCUGCAACUCCAGCACUCAAGAACAGAGGCAGGGGGAUCCAGGGCUCAAGGUUGAGCUUGGCUACAGGAUGAGUUUCAUGCGUCUAUGUGUGUAUGUGCUCCUGUGUGUAUAUACGCACACAUUGGUACAAGUACACAUGUACACGUACGUGUGUGUGUGUGUGUGUGUGUGUGUGUGUGUGUAGAAACCUCAAGUUCACGUUGGGACGUGCGAAAUUAGCACUCUCUGUCCUAUUUUUUGAGACAGGGUCACUUACUGAACCUGAAGCACCUGGAUUCCGCUCGGCUGGCCACCAAAUUCCAGGGAUCCUCUGCUUAAGCUGGGCAUUGUGGCUCAGGCCUAUAACAGUAGUACUGUAGACACUGAGGCAGGAGGAUUGCCAUAGUUUCAGGCCAGCCUGGGUUACAGAGUGAGUGCCAGGCUAUCUCAGGCUAUAGAGUGAGACCUUGUCUCAAUAAAAAUUCAAUAAACAAAUAAAUAUCAAUUUAAGCUGUAUUCUGGUCAUGGUAGCAAGACAGAGUGAAGUUAGCCAGAAGCUUGGCACGUUGAUACAGAAAUUGCCUUCCAACUAUCUUGCUUUGACUUUUCUCUUCACCUUACAUGAGACAUAGGAGAAUGACAUAGCAGAGUCAACAUGGAAACUAGUCUUCAUUUUAACCCAACAAGUGCAGCCUUAGACUGUGGCUUUGGCCAGUGUGGUGGUUUGAAUAUACUUGGCCCAUGGGAAGUGGCAUUAUUAGGAGGUGUGGCCUUGUUGGAGGAAGUGUGUCACUGUGUGGGUGGGCUUUAAGGGCUCCUACUGCAAAGCUCCUCCCACUGAAGAAGAGAGUCUCCUCCUGCCUGCCUUCAGAUCAAGAAGUAGAAGUCCCUGCUCCUCCUGCACCAUGCCUGCCUGGAUGCUGCCAUGCUUCCUGCCUUGAUGAUAAUGGACUUGACCCUCUGAACCUCCAAGCCAGCCCCAAUUGACUGUGGUCCUUUAUAAGAGUUGCCUUGGUCAUGGUGUCCAUUCACAGCAAUGAAACUCUAACUAAGUCAGCCAGGAAGCAGGGCUGAGGUCCUGUGUGUCCACAGCCCUUGGCAGAGGUGGUGGGUAUCCCAGCUUGCCUUGCUCAUGGGAUCACACGGGGACCUGGAGCUGUAAUUUCCCACUCUCGGAGUUCACGCCAGGGCGUGUGCUCACAUCCGACAGCGCAAUUUGAAAGUGUGCUCUCAGCUCCCGCCGCUGCAUACACCCAGGAACGCGAUGUGUUGAGCGAAAUGUCAUCCCAUACAGGAGCCCAUGCUAAUUAUAAUGUCACUUUCCCCACCGAGGUGCGGAUAAUUAAAGGAGAAUAUUACAGUGUUUUCAAACUCCUGGAGUAAAUGAGGGAAAUCUUGAAGUAACCUGCUGGAGAUGAGAAUUUAAAGUGCUGUGAACCGUCCCCCUUGAAGGUCACCUGACUAGAGGUGGAAGAUUCUUAAGGAUUGAACUCUCCUCCCCAGAGGAGGAGAAGAGGAGGGGAAGAGGGGGGAGACAGAGGGAGGAGGAGGGGAGAGCAAAGAACUCAAGUGCAGCAGGCUCUGCUGUGCUCUACCUCAAGUCAGGUUACUCAGCAGGUGACUGGCCUGUUGCAGUAGCUGUUAACUCACUUCAUAGAGAACUGCAAGGUGAGGUGUUAUUGCCAAUUUACAUCUACCAACACUGAGAUGCUCAGGCCUUUACCCAAAGCCACAUGGCCGAUAAGGCAGCUGGUGGCUUUGGGAGCUAAGUCCGGGCCUUGCUGAUUCUAAGGCCUACUACGCCUGUCUAACGUUGAUGGGUCCACGACCACCCUCACCUGCUGGUGAUGGGUGUGUGGAGGGCACGCUUCUGGGGCACUCCUUCUGCGACCUUCUGCGGAGCUCCCUUAGGGACAGCCCGGGUUAUGGACGAGGUCUCCCACCCAGGUUGCCUAGCCUAUAAGCCUGCUGCUGCUAAGCAGAGAGCCCAGGACAUCUUGAGCGAGAAGUCUGCCAACAUACCCGGCUGGUGUCACAGACGCUGACAUUUCAUGUCGUUAAAAAAUAAAAGUAAAAAAGCAAAA
Non-coding RNA from Rattus norvegicus (Norway rat), 6050 nucleotides. Lineage: Eukaryota; Metazoa; Chordata; Mammalia; Rodentia; Muridae. The record is from RefSeq and is a predicted model, not a curated record.